UACGGCUACAUCACGUUGAAACACAGGUUCUCGUACGACCACCGAAAGCAACCUCGAACCCGGUCAGUACUUAGAUGGGUGACCCCUUGAGAAUACUAAGUGUUGUAAG
This is a non-coding RNA of Acanthosepion pharaonis, 109 nucleotides long. The record is from the annotation of a GenBank genome assembly. Lineage: Eukaryota; Metazoa; Mollusca; Cephalopoda; Sepiida; Sepiidae.